This 987-nucleotide unclassified non-coding RNA is filed under the name Hevea brasiliensis (rubber tree). The record is from RNAcentral. Lineage: Eukaryota; Viridiplantae; Streptophyta; Magnoliopsida; Malpighiales; Euphorbiaceae.
UUUUGAUUCCAAAGCUGUCCACUAAAUGCACCACUUUGAGCCAAAAGAUUUCCUUUUUGAUGAAAACUUAACAAAUAGUACAUAAAAUCCACGCCCUACAGAGAUUCUCAAGUACACUCACUCCACAGUCUGGAUCUAACGAGGAAGCCCAAUAACCCAUCAAACACACUUACCUUCUUUUUCAAACCAAAUUAGUUCAAGUUUAAACUGUCAAUCUUAUCUCAUUACAUUCAUUCAUAAUCGGAUAACAAACACAAGAAAUCAGUCUUUCCUCAGAUCCAUUUCUUCUCUACGGAUGCCAUCAGCAUUUAAUACAACUAUCUCCAGUUUGUCACCAGUGUAUAUAUCCCUUUCUGUUGCUGAAGCAAAGCAAGUCUUGACUAAAUCAAUGGCUUCUGAUUCAGAAAGUGGAGUAACAGCAUCCACAGCAGGCAGCAAAAGAGGGCUAGGAGACUUCAGUUGGUUGUCCAAGAAAGGCAUGAUCAGAGUUGAACCAGAACCUUGAGAGCUGUAGCCAACCCUCUCAUAUGAUCCCACAGCAUCAUAGGUGAAGACACACCCCUUCCCUUCAUUGUCAAGGCCACCUAGAACAUUAAACGAAUAGUAGGGGAAGAAACGUUUGUAGUAUAGUGUGUUCGAAAGGAGCUGGCCCAUAGCUGGACAGCUCAUCUGCUUAUUGUGCUGGUGCUGGUAGAUCAGAUGCCUUGAUGCCAAAACCUUUUGCAAAGCUCUCACGUCAGCCUGAAAUCCUGACGAUGCCAUCACACAUUUAUCCGCUAGUUUAAUGAUCUUGGAGUAAUCGCGAGUAAGAAUGUUGUAGCCAGUGGACAUGCGAGUAUCUGCUGCAAUUACACAGUAAUCUGCUCCAGCUACUGCCACACAGGUUCCGCCAUUGUUGUCAUAAGGAGACCAGUUAGCUUGCUGCUUCGUCAUGGUGAUUCGAUGCGUAGAGAGAAAGAGAGAUGGAUCUAGGGUUGCAGAAGAAGA